GAUGAAGAACGUAGCGAAAUGCGAUAAGUAAUGUGAAUUGCAGAAUUCAGUGAAUCAUCGAAUCUUUGAACGCACAUUGCGCCCGCCAGCACUCUGGCGGGCAUGCCUGUCCGAGCGUCAUUUCAACCCUCAGGGCCCCUUCGGGGGACCUGGCGUUGGGGAUCGGCCCGCCCCCGUGCGGCGCCGUCCCCGAAAUAUAGUGGCGGUCUCGCUGCAGCCUCCCCUGCGUAGUAGCACACCUCGCACUGGAGAGCGGCGCGGCCACGCCGUGAAACCCCCAACUUCUGAAUGUUGACCUCGGAUCAGGUAGGAAUACCCGCUGAACUUAAGCAUAUCAAUAAGCGAGGA
This 348-nucleotide unclassified non-coding RNA is filed under the name soil metagenome. RNAcentral's name for it is "partial contains 5.8S ribosomal RNA, internal transcribed spacer 2, and large subunit ribosomal RNA". The stretch from base 1 to 120 matches the Rfam family "5.8S ribosomal RNA", at positions 35 to 154 of the family's 154-position model. The record is from RNAcentral.